This is a long non-coding RNA of Varroa destructor (honeybee mite), 1127 nucleotides long. The record is from RefSeq and is a predicted model, not a curated record. NCBI's taxonomy places the organism in Eukaryota, Metazoa, Arthropoda, Arachnida, Mesostigmata, Varroidae.
ACGAAAUUAUAACCAUCCACUUAUACCUUAACAAUGCCUUACAAUAAGCCUAUAACAAAUUGACCAUACAUGUCGAAAGAGACCUAGAACGCUCGGGAACGAGAUAGACUACUAGGAUGCCGACAGCCAUAGUUAAGAUCCUGAUUUUUUCGGUUAAAUACAAAUCUAUAGAAAAAAGAACUUAUGGACACGGUCACAUAUUCAGUCAGCUCACUUUCGUGUUCCUCCGGUCUAGUCAGCGACGCCAUUAUGCUUUAGCGUAACUUCUUAGAGGUCCCCGAUGAAAAGACGGUUGUCCGCACCUACGAAAGAUAUUCUUCAGGUCGCAAACCUACGCUUCGUGAUGCUGCGAUUCGUAGAAAGAAGGACCAACAAAUGGUGAAUAGUAAUGAGGAGAGAGUGAAAGCAAGGGACGCAAAGACUUCGUCGUAAGUGCUUCGUGUUAAUGGAGGGAAGUUGGGCAGGCGUCUGUGAGCGGGAAUGUGGCCCGUCGACGAACGAAAACAACGAACGAUUGCUUAUCCGGUUUUUCCAAAGCGGUAACGUGUUGGCAUCGUAUGACUCGUACGUGCUGCUUCGCACCGGAGGAAGUGCUGUGAAGCACUCCAAGUACUUCGUGAAUUCGGUUCAAAAUAGAUGUGAUUAGCUGUUGACUAUUUUUGAGUGGCUCCAUGAAGCCAGUUAUGCACCGAUCCGUGCUGUCAACCGGAGAAACGAUCCGAGUUUUCCCGCUUCUUCUUCAAGGACGCUCACUGUUAUCGGCUGUGUGGGUCGAUAUGUUUCCCGUAAACAUGUGAGACGAAUGAGAUUCACUGAUUAACGAAGGGCGUGUUGUUGCCAGCAAGGUCAAUCGGAGACCUUGACAUGGCUAGAUACGAGAACUGCCUAGCCGGACAAAUAGUCAUCUCAGACUGGAUUUGAUUCACAUUAACAGUACGUACAAUGAAGAAAAAAGGGUUCAAAUUCAAGCACGGCGAAAAAUAUCAUUGCUAUUGAUAUAUAAAACAAUUAAUAAAAACACUAUGCAAAAUUCGCUUCAAGGGCUUGCUUGACGACUACCAUGCGGUGUAUCCUGCGUCAACCGUAACCAAAGGAAUCAAUACUAACAUUUAUUUCUAUUAGAUGCU